UACGAAGGGUGCAAACGUUGCUCGGAAUUAUUGGGCGUAAAGAGCUCGUAGGCGGUUUGUCGCGUCUGCCGUGAAAGUCCGGGGCUCAACUCCGGAUCUGCGGUGGGUACGGGGCAGACUAGAGUGAUGUAGGGGGAGACUGGAAUCCUGGUGUAGCGGUGAAAUGCGCAGAUAUCAGGAGGAACACCGAUGGCGAAGGCAGGUCUCUGGGCAUUAACUGACGCUGAGGAGCGAAAGCAUGGGGAGCGAACAGG
Molecule: ribosomal RNA, 254 nt
Filed under: uncultured bacterium
Lineage: Bacteria
Description: partial 16S ribosomal RNA
Rfam family: Bacterial small subunit ribosomal RNA
Source: RNAcentral